This 156-nucleotide ribosomal RNA is filed under the name Naganishia albidosimilis. RNAcentral's name for it is "5.8S ribosomal RNA". It matches the Rfam family "5.8S ribosomal RNA". Rfam says of the family: 5.8S ribosomal RNA (5.8S rRNA) is a component of the large subunit of the eukaryotic ribosome. It is transcribed by RNA polymerase I as part of the 45S precursor that also contains 18S and 28S rRNA. Functionally, it is thought that 5.8S rRNA may be involved in ribosome translocation. RNAcentral also lists the same sequence under 2 other names. The record is from RNAcentral. Lineage: Eukaryota; Fungi; Basidiomycota; Tremellomycetes; Filobasidiales; Filobasidiaceae.
AAACUUUUAACAACGGAUCUCUUGGCUCUCGCAUCGAUGAAGAACGCAGCGAAAUGCGAUAAGUAAUGUGAAUUGCAGAAUUCAGUGAAUCAUCGAAUCUUUGAACGCACCUUGCGCCCUUUGGUAUUCCGAAGGGCAUGCCUGUUUGAGUGUCAU